UACAGGGGGGGCAAGCGUUGUUCGGAAUUACUGGGCGUAAAGGGCCAGUAGGCGGCCAACUAAGUCACACGUGAAAUCCCCGGGCUUAACCCGGGAACUGCGUGUGAUACUGGAUGGCUUGAAUUCGGGAGAGGGAUGCAGAAUUCCAGGUGUAGCGGUGAAAUGCGUAGAUAUCUGGAGGAAUACCGGUGGCGAAGGCGGCAUCCUGGACCGACAUUGACGCGUGA
RNAcentral lists this ribosomal RNA (227 nucleotides) under uncultured bacterium. Its description in RNAcentral is "partial 16S ribosomal RNA". It matches the Rfam family "Bacterial small subunit ribosomal RNA", at positions 524 to 749 of the family's 1533-position model. The record is from RNAcentral.